AGCUUUGCGCAGUGGCAGUAUCGUAGCCAAUGAGGUUUAUCCGAGGCGCGAUUAUUGCUAAUUAAAGAAUCAGUUUUACCUCAUUGCUUUCUGCUCCUCCUCCAUCUGUUCUCUGACUUGCUGUAGUUCCUUCAGUAGU
Neogale vison (American mink) is the source of this 139-nucleotide small nuclear RNA. RefSeq annotates it as U4 spliceosomal RNA. The transcript has a single exon. The record is from RefSeq and is a predicted model, not a curated record. Lineage: Eukaryota; Metazoa; Chordata; Mammalia; Carnivora; Mustelidae.